ACCCACCCGGGCCGCGCGGCGGGCAGGGCUCCUGCGGGGAGCCCGGCCCUGACCGGCGGGGUCACGCGGCCGGCGGGGGCUCC
Molecule: transfer RNA, 83 nt
Filed under: Microbispora corallina
Lineage: Bacteria; Bacillati; Actinomycetota; Actinomycetes; Streptosporangiales; Streptosporangiaceae
Description: tRNA-Arg
Source: RNAcentral